AUGAAGACAUGUGUUUCUACUUUAUUCAUGUUUCUGUGGCUGCAGAUGGAUGGGAUGAGCCAAGGAGAGCAGGUGGAGCAGCACCUUUCCAUCCUGAGAGUCCAGGAGGGAGCCAGCGCUGUCAUCAACUGCACUUACACAGACAGUGCCUCGGACUAUUUCUCUUGGUAUAAGCAAGAACCUGGGAAAGGUCCUCAGUUCUUCAUGGACAUUCGUUCAAAUGUGGACAGAAAGCAGAACCAAAGACUCACAGUUUUACUGGAUAAGAAGGCCAAACACUUCUCCCUGCACAUCACAGACACUCAGCCUGGAGACUCAGCUAUGUACUUCUGUGCAGCAAGUACACACUGCCCCACUGGCACCUGCUGCCUGUCCUCAAACCAUGGGGCUGUGUCCACAUCCUGUGUCACGGGCCUUCCAGGGCAGCAUUUGCCAGUUGCUAGUUUGCAAGUGCCAAGUAUAAUGUAGACAUUAAAAACACAAAAUAAGAAAGUUAGCUUCAACUCCCUCAGACAAUUUAGGACAGUUUUCUCCAUCCUUAAAAAAAAAUAUUUUAUCAAAGAGCCAGCCACUGAGUUCAUGUCAAAGACAGUCCCUGCUCCCCGUAUUAGGGAAAUCACUUGGAGACUGAGCUGCCAUGGGCUACAUCUGCGCAGGGGUUCUAGGUUAUCUCCAUGAAUGGUUCUUGAUUGGAGUAUCAGUCUCAGAAAAGGCACCUGGGCCCAGAUUUUUGGUUCUGUUGUUCUCCCUGUGGAGCUUCUGUCCCUUCCAGGUCUUUCUAUCUCCCCCUUUUAUAUAAGAUUCCCUGCACUCUGCCCAAAGUUUGACUAUGAGUCUCAGCAUCUGCUUUGAUACUUUGCUGGGUAGAGUCUUUCGGAGGCCCUCUCUGGUAGGCUCUUUUUCUGUGCCCUGUUUUCUCCUUUUUCCAAUGUCC
Molecule: non-coding RNA, 934 nt
Organism: Meriones unguiculatus (Mongolian gerbil)
Lineage: Eukaryota; Metazoa; Chordata; Mammalia; Rodentia; Muridae
Source: the annotation of a RefSeq genome assembly